AUUGAACGCUGGCGGCAUGCUUUACACAUGCAAGUCGAACGGUAACAGGCCGCAAGGUGCUGACGAGUGGCGGACGGGUGCGUAAUGCAUCGGAACGUGCCCAGUCGUGGGGGGUAACUACUCGAAAGAGUAGCUAAUACCGCAUACGAUCUAUGGAUGAGAGCGGGGGACCGUAAGGCCUCGCGCGAUUGGUGCGGCCGAUGUCAGAUUAGUUAGUUGGUGGGGUAAAGGCUCACCAAGCCAACGAUUUGUAGCCGGUCUGAGCGGACGAGCCGCCACACUGGAACUGAGACACGGCCCAGACUCCUACGGGAGGCAGCAGUAGGGAAUCUUGGGCAAUGGGCGCAAGCCUGAUCCAGCAACGCCGCGUGCAGGAAGAAGGUCUUCGGGUUGUAAACUGCUGUUGUUCGGAACGAAACGGUGUUGGUUAAUCCCCGGGGGUAAUGACGGUACCGUAAGAAUAAGCACCGGCUAACUACGUG
RNAcentral lists this ribosomal RNA (482 nucleotides) under uncultured bacterium. Its description in RNAcentral is "partial 16S ribosomal RNA". It matches the Rfam family "Bacterial small subunit ribosomal RNA", at positions 30 to 507 of the family's 1533-position model. The record is from RNAcentral.